AAAAAAUUUGAUUUUAGUUUAUGGGUUGGGUAUUAUUUUUUAUUAUAUGUAAAUUUUCGUUAAAAAGUAUUUUGCAGUAAUUAGAUUUAAGUAUUCAAUAAAUUGAGACUUAGGGAUAAUAAAUAAUAUAAACUAAAUUUGUGCCAGCAGUUGCGGUUAUACAAAUUAUAUGACUCAAUUUUAUUAAUUUUAAUUAGUUUGAAUUAAAAAAUUAUAAGUUAAAAUUUAUUAAGUGAAAUUUUAAAUUUUAUAUAAAUUUUAUUAGUUAGCAUUUUAAAAAAUUUUAUGAACAGACUAGGAUUAGAUACCCUAUUAUUAAAAAUGUACCUAUAAAAAUUAAAUUAGUAUUAGUUAUGUUCUUGAAAAUUAAAAAAUUUGGCGGUAUUUUAGUCUUUUCAGAGGAACCUGUUUUAUAAAUGAUAGUCCACGAUUUAAUUUACUUUUAUUAUUAGCUUAUAUAUCGUCGUAGUUAAAUAUUUUUAAAGAAUUUAAAUAUUUAUAAUUUUUUUUAAAAAAAGAAUUCAGAUCAAGGUGUAGUUUAUAUAAAAGUAAAAAUGGGUUACAAUAAAUUUAUUUAGGGAUUAUUAUUAUUAAUAUUAAUUUGAAUAUGGAUUUGAUAGUAAUUUUAAUUAAUUAAUUAAAAUGAUUUAGGCUCUAAAAUAUGUACAUAUUGCCCGUCGCUUUCAUUUAAAGUGAAAUAAGUCGUAACAAAGUAGAUUUACUGGAAAGUGUAUCUAGAGUCAA
Molecule: non-coding RNA, 744 nt
Filed under: Psylliodes gougeleti
Lineage: Eukaryota; Metazoa; Arthropoda; Insecta; Coleoptera; Chrysomelidae
Source: RNAcentral